This 206-nucleotide ribosomal RNA is filed under the name uncultured bacterium. RNAcentral's name for it is "partial 16S ribosomal RNA". It matches the Rfam family "Bacterial small subunit ribosomal RNA", at positions 591 to 793 of the family's 1533-position model. The record is from RNAcentral.
GAUGUGAAAAGCCCGGGCUCAAACCUCGGAAACUGCAUUUGAAAACUGGCAGACUAGAGUACUGUAGAGGGGGUAGAAUUUCAGGUGUAGCGGUGAAAAUGCGUAGAGAUCUGAAGGAAUACCGGUGGCGAAGGCGGCCCCUGGACAGAUACUGACACUCAGAUGCGAAAGCGUGGGGAGCAAACAGGAUUAGAUACCCUCGGUAG